UACAGAGGGGGCCAGCGUUAUUCGGAAUUACUGGGCGUAAAGGGCUCGUAGGCGGCCAACUAAGUCAGACGUGAAAUCCCUCGGCUUAACCGGGGAACUGCGUCUGAUACUGGAUGGCUUGAGAUUGGGAGAGGGAUGCGGAAUUCCAGGUGUAGCGGUGAAAUGCGUAGAUAUCUGGAGGAACACCGGUGGCGAAGGCGGCAUCCUGGACCAACACUGACGCUGAGUGAGCGAAAGCCAGGGGAGCAAACGGG
Molecule: ribosomal RNA, 254 nt
Filed under: uncultured bacterium
Lineage: Bacteria
Description: partial 16S ribosomal RNA
Rfam family: Bacterial small subunit ribosomal RNA
Source: RNAcentral